UACGGAGGAUGCGAGCGUUAUCCGGAUUUAUUGGGUUUAAAGGGUGCGUAGGCGGGAUGCCAAGUCAGCGGUAAAAAUUCGGGGCUCAACCCCGUCCGGCCGUUGAAACUGACGCCCUUGAGUGAGUGAGAAGUAAGCGGAAUGCGUGGUGUAGCGGUGAAAUGCAUAGAUAUCACGCAGAACGCCGAUUGCGAAGGCAGCAUACCGGCGCCCAACUGACGCUGAGGCACGAAAGCGUGGGGAUCGAACAGG
Molecule: ribosomal RNA, 252 nt
Filed under: uncultured Bacteroidales bacterium
Lineage: Bacteria; Pseudomonadati; Bacteroidota; Bacteroidia; Bacteroidales
Description: partial 16S ribosomal RNA
Rfam family: Bacterial small subunit ribosomal RNA
Source: RNAcentral